UAAUUAUGUUAUCAUCAAAAUUUUUGAGUGUUAGCACCCUGCUUCUUGCAAACUGCAGCUUAAACCCAAGUGCUAAUAUAAGGUGCUCUCAAAACCUCAGGCUGCAGUGAAUUCAGGCUGGACUUUCCAAACAGUGGGAAGAUUUUCCCUGGGUUCUUCUGCAUCUCAGUUGCUUCUUUCUUAAAUGUGAAGGGUACAAUCUCCUUCUCCCAUGGGAACAAUGUGAUGGUGAAUUAAUUCAGUUUCUUUAAGUGCCUAUGUUAUGGAACACAGAAAGAGUCACAGAUACAUCACACAAAGCUAGGCUGAAAUAAUGACCAGUGAACAAGGCAAGAGGCUUCCUAUAGAGCAGCAUGCUGAUAAAAGAAAUAGCUGCUCAGGAAAUUAUUCCUUACCCCCCCAUGGAACAGAAUGAUAUACCAGGACCAGUGUGAAAAACUCCAAACUUUUUAAGACUUACAUCACACUACAGAUUCCCAAAUGGUACAAGACAGCAUUUAACAGCUGCAAAAUAUGCACCCCCCUAGUAUGUCUACUUUUGAGACAGUAAUUUUGUAAUCUUGCCAAGCUACCAUCAACAAUUUGAUUAACAUUACUGAAAAACUCUGUUUGUACAAGUUUGAAAAAGUAAAAACUGGAGUCUUCUACAAAGAUCACUCUGAUUAAAAUGAACUUUUCAGCUGUGUUUACCCUGCAAGUCCAAAACUGCAAAUUUUCUCCUGUUGGAAAGAUACUCGUAGAUUUGCACUGGAAAAGCUGAGCACUGCCUUGUGCUGUUCUAUCAGUAUUAGUAUAAGGUUAUGAAGACUUGAAAUACUUCUCAAGUAUUUCUCAAGGAAAAUUUGAUAAACACAUUGAAAAUUUAUUCAGCCAGCUCCCAACCUUUAUCAUGUGCUUUCCCACAAGUAGUGACAGAGGGUCCCUUUUUUGUCUUGUAGGUAGAACCAAUGGGAAUUGCAUUUCACAAAGAACAACAGAACCUCAUUUGUGGGUGUCACUGCAACAGGAGAUGUGUGUUAUAUACAGCACUGUGCUGUUAAUUGUGACAUUAUGUUCAUCAUGUUUUCAUUGACAAGGGACUCCGAAGCACACCAUUUAUUUAUUGCUUUUGCUGACUAAUAGUAUGCAAAGCUUUGAUAUUCUUACAAAUGGUACCACUGAACAGUAGGGAGGGAAACAUUCACGUGGAGAACUUAGUAUAAUGCUCAGUGCUGCCUGUGCAGCUCCCCCAACAAGCCCCAACAAGCUUCAGAGAGAAUAAGGCACUUUGUGUUGCCACAGAUGCAAGUGUUCAAAGUACAAACAUAAACUUUGUCUACAGGGAGAUGUAGGCAACUUCCUAACUCUGUGUGAAAUCUGCAGAUUUUGUUUUGCUUUAGCUAUGAAGGCUUUAAAUGUCUUUUGAAUAAUUGUGAGUAUAAGGUGACACCCUUUCUUCGUGUUUUCUAUAUCAAGUCACUUACUUGAUAUAAAGAGAACUCAAGUCCAAAUGUCCUCCUCACAGCACUUGUAUCCCAGAAGUACCUCUUGGCCUGUGAGAUAUGUUCCUGUGAGGCUCUCUAAAACUGUUUUGCUAAAGUUUAUUUAAAAUUUCACUGGAUAAAAUGAAGAAUCAAAGGUAGAGUAAUGCAGAAGGCUGCACACUGCAUCUGCAGGAGACAUGCUCUCUUUUCUGAGGACAAGGAACUUCAGUAAUUUUAUAUGAGGUAAAAGCCCACACCAAAAUUUGAAAGAUGGCAAUGAGAGCAUUACUGUGAAAGGAUAGCUUCCUGCAUACUUAUGAGAGUUUUUCAAUGCAGGUUUUAAAUGUUGGUUCAGCUUCCUUUGGUUUUCUUUAGACUCCCUCCUAUGUAAAGUUAAAGAAAGAAUUAAUAGCCAGUGGUUUUUCUUGUCAGUUUUUCAGCAUGUGACAAAUGUUUUAUUUCUGGUAGAAAACAUGUUUUUUCUUUUCAUUUUUUUUGGCCCAAACUUUCUUUGCUUUCCUGGCAUAUGCUGAAAGGCCAGAACAGCUUCUCUACUUCAGUUCCUGGAUCUGUGUCUGAUUUUGUCAAACAUCUGCAGAUUUACCAUGCCUCAGCUUCCCCAUGUGAAACACUGCCUUGUGAUAUCAUUACCUGAAAAGUGUGAAAAAAAGAAGGAGGAUGCAGGAAGUUUGGAGAGCUGGCAGGGUUGUAUUUCUGGAAAUUUUAUUUCAAAACAUUAUUAAAAAACUUUUCUGUUUGUACAACUUAUUGGUAGCCCAAAGGUAUACUCAGGAAGAGGGAGGUUUUAUUUAUAUGGAAUAUAAACUGUAAGACCAGAGAGAGAAGUAUCAUAGCGUAUUCUUAACAAUGACAAAGAAGAGUUGGAGAAAGAAAACACUGCUGAGCUGGACCAGAGCAGCUACCAAUCAAAAAUCUCCCUUAAAAGAUGAACAGGACUGUAUACACUCCUUUGGAUGUUGGCAUCAGCUUCCCCUGCUAAGUUUCUGCUCUGCAACCUCAUCAUAGAAUUUCACACUGGGUUAAAUUUUGGCAUGAUUCGGAAGAAGAUGAGCCAGGAAUUAAUGAAGAGGAAGAUUCAACAACAUGAUAACCAGAAGCUAAUGCUACUACUGCUUGAAAAAUUGAGUUUUCAGGUUUGUAAAGGACAAGAGGGGUUCAAUGCACCGACCAUAUCCAACUGCAAGUUGUCUGAUGAGAGAAAAGGACAUGAGCAGCUCACUAAUCUUUCUUGCAGGCUUCUGCAUCCAUUAUAUUCCUUCCAGUCAAGUGGAAGCAAGAUGAAAUUUUGGAAGACUCAAGUGAUAUUGAAAAGAGAAGCAGGGCAGGAGCACUGCCCAGAGGAAAAAUGAUGGAAGAAGGAACAGGGAGAUGAAGAAAAGGAACUUUAUUUAGCUUUCUUUCUCCUUUCUGAGGGGCUCCAAGAACCUUCUUCAAGAUUUACAUGUAUUGAACGAGUUAUUCUUAACAGUAAAAGUGAAGGACCCACUCCAAGAAUUAGGUCAUACAUUCCAGCUUCCUGACAAUAAAUAAUGGAAAAAGAUCUGAGUGAAGGUUAUCAGUCAACACAGUGUUUUGUUCCUUAAAGCUAGGAAGUCCAGUCUGUGUUUUCUAAUGCACUGCUGUCAUGGUGUAACUGCAGUCACCAACAAAGUACCACAGAGCCACUGGCUCUGUCCCCACCCCCAGUGGGCUGGGGAGGAGAAUCAGAAAAAGAUUA
Molecule: long non-coding RNA, 3201 nt
Organism: Parus major (Great Tit)
Lineage: Eukaryota; Metazoa; Chordata; Aves; Passeriformes; Paridae
Exons: 3
Source: RefSeq, a predicted model, not a curated record